UCAGGAUGAACGCUAGCGACAGGCCUAACACAUGCAAGUCAGGGGCAGCACAAGGAGCAAUCUGAGGUGGCGACCGGCGCACGGGUGAGUAACACGUAUGCAACCUGCCUGUAAGCGGGGAAUAACCCGUUGAAAGACGGACUAAUACCGCAUAAUACUAAAUUACUGCAUGGUAAUUUAUUUAAACAUUUAUGGCUUACAGAUGGGCAUGCGCAUGAUUAGCUAGUUGGAGAGGUAACGGCUCCCCAAGGCAACGAUCAUUAGGGGUUCUGAGAGGAGGGUCCCCCCACACUGGUACUGAGACACGGACCAGACUCCUACGGGAGGCAGCAGUGAGGAAUAUUGGUCAAUGGACGAGAGUCUGAACCAGCCAAGUCGCGUGCAGGAAGAAUUGUCCUAUGGAUUGUAAACUGCUUUUGCAGGGGAAUAAAGUGCAUCACGUGUGAUGUUUUGUAUGUACUCUGCGAAUAAGGAUCGGCUAACUCCGUGCCAGCCGCGGC
RNAcentral lists this ribosomal RNA (500 nucleotides) under uncultured bacterium. Its description in RNAcentral is "bacterial SSU rRNA". It matches the Rfam family "Bacterial small subunit ribosomal RNA", at positions 24 to 518 of the family's 1533-position model. The record is from RNAcentral.